RNAcentral lists this ribosomal RNA (301 nucleotides) under uncultured bacterium. Its description in RNAcentral is "partial 16S ribosomal RNA". It matches the Rfam family "Bacterial small subunit ribosomal RNA", at positions 509 to 809 of the family's 1533-position model. The record is from RNAcentral.
CAGCAGCCGCGGUAAAACGAAGGGGGCUAGCGUUGCUCGGAAUGACUGGGCGUAAAGGGCGCGCAGGCGGCGAUCAAAGUCAGGCGUGAAAUUCCUGGGCUCAACCUGGGGGCUGCGCUUGAUACUUGGUUGCUUGAGUGGGGAAGAGGGUCGUGGAAUUCCCAGUGUAGAGGUGAAAUUCGUAGAUAUUGGGAAGAACACCGGUGGCGAAGGCGGCGACCUGGUCCUUGACUGACGCUGAGGCGCGAAAGCGUGGGGAGCAAACAGGAUUAGAUACCCCAGUAGUCCCUGUCUCUUAUAA